RNAcentral lists this long non-coding RNA (1124 nucleotides) under Coturnix japonica (Japanese quail). RNAcentral describes it as "lncRNA (ENSCJPG00005010068.1)". Lineage: Eukaryota; Metazoa; Chordata; Aves; Galliformes; Phasianidae. The record is from RNAcentral.
CUGCCACUUUUUGGCAAGAGUGCGCUGAUUUACAAAGGGCAUCCUUCAAUUAUUUAAGGAGCAGUCAGUAGUGCCAUAACUUUAAGUAUGAAUCAAGUGGCAUGACUGAAAAAUUUGUCACAGUGUGUUAGAUCAAUGGUAAUUACCUUACUGACAUGAGUACUGUUAUUAUUUUACAGGGCUGCAAACAGGAUCAUGGACGUGAGGAAACACAAACUGCACUGUGAUCAAUACUCUCUGAAAUAUGACUCUCUGUGGCCCAAAAUGGAGUUUUCGAGCCAGGCAAACCAUUACAGGCUGAUUCUCUCUCUGCCUUUAGAUGGAUACCCUGAAGUAAAACACAGCAGCAAUUGGUCAACUUGUUUCAGGCUUUGAACAGGCAAAUAGUCACUUAUUAUUUUUAAGGACAACUGUGUGCAAAUAAAAAGUCUGGGCAGCCAAACUCCAGAUGAAGAGAAGUGCUGUGGAAGGAAGAAACCUCAGCCUGCUUUGCCUCCUGUGCCAACAAGACCACCGCAUCCCACUGGUAUUAAAGACCAACAAAUGCAAGUUGUUCAUCCAAGCCUCCUGCAUUAAAACCUGUUCCCUGGUUCCAGGUGGCACUGCGAUAUCCUCAUGGAUGACACAGAGCUUCCUGCCUCAACUUAAACCUCCUGAACCUCAACACACCCUUGGUUCAAAAUAGCUGGUGUUCAGCUCUGAGCUGGUUCAGUGUGUGGUAUACAUGUAUGUAUGUCAUUCUGCUGCUAGGCUGAGGUGGACAUUUGGGCACAGCAAGGCUCAGAGUUAAAUAUGUGCAAUAUCAUGCAGCUCCCAUGAGGCAUCUCCUAAGCCAAGCUCCACUGAAAUCCUUAAAAAGAAUGUAUUGACUUCAGCAGACUCUGCAACAGACCCACUUGGAGAGCUCAGGUCUCCAGUGCCAUGUGGUUAUAUCUGUCCCCAGAACCAAAUUCACUGGGAAUCAGAUCAAAUCAAACACAUCUCGUAGUUAUCUGCGAUUUUCUGUGACUAUUAACUUUUGUCCUGGUGGAGAUCUAUGCAUGCUGCACUGUGACAUUCAGUGGUAUGCUGCACUGGGGCUGGAAAGAUGUAGAAUAAAAAAAGGGCAAAUAUAGCCUAAAUCA